RNAcentral lists this ribosomal RNA (253 nucleotides) under uncultured Petrimonas sp. RNAcentral's name for it is "partial 16S ribosomal RNA". It matches the Rfam family "Bacterial small subunit ribosomal RNA", at positions 524 to 776 of the family's 1533-position model. The record is from RNAcentral. Lineage: Bacteria; Pseudomonadati; Bacteroidota; Bacteroidia; Bacteroidales; Dysgonomonadaceae.
UACGGAGGAUCCGAGCGUUAUCCGGAUUUAUUGGGCUUAAAGGGUGCGCAGGCGGGAUGUUAAGUCGGCGGUGAAAUUUUGCAGCUCAACUGUAAAAAUGCCUUCGAUACUGGCUUCCUUGAGUGUGGAUGAAGUAGGCGGAAUUUGUGGUGUAGCGGUGAAAUGCUUAGAUAUCACGAGGAACUCCGAUUGCGCAGGCAGCUUACUAAACCACUACUGACGCUGAUGCACGAAAGCGUGGGGAUCAAACAGG